UACGUAGGGGGCAAGCGUUGUCCGGAAUCAUUGGGCGUAAAGAGCGUGUAGGCGGCUCGAUAAGUCUGCUGUGAAAGUCCAGGGCUCAACCCUGGGAUGCCGGUGGAUACUGUCGGGCUCGAGUCCGGAAGAGGCGAGUGGAAUUCCUGGUGUAGCGGUGAAAUGCGCAGAUAUCAGGAGGAACACCAAUGGCGAAGGCAGCUCGCUGGGACGUGACUGACGCUGAGACGCGAAAGCGUGGGGAGCAAACAGG
RNAcentral lists this ribosomal RNA (253 nucleotides) under uncultured bacterium. RNAcentral describes it as "partial 16S ribosomal RNA". It matches the Rfam family "Bacterial small subunit ribosomal RNA", at positions 524 to 776 of the family's 1533-position model. The record is from RNAcentral.